GACGAACGCUGGCGGCGUGCCUAAUACAUGCAAGUCGAACGCUUUUUCUUUCACCGGAGCUUGCUCCACCGAAAGAAAAAGAGUGGCGAACGGGUGAGUAACACGUGGGUAACCUGCCCAUCAGAAGGGGAUAACACUUGGAAACAGGUGCUAAUACCGUAUAACAAGUAAAACCGCAUGGUUUUACUUUGAAAGGCGCUUUUGCGUCACUGAUGGAUGGACCCGCGGUGCAUUAGCUAGUUGGUGAGGUAACGGCUCACCAAGGCAACGAUGCAUAGCCGACCUGAGAGGGUGAUCGGCCACAUUGGGACUGAGACACGGCCCAAACUCCUACGGGAGGCAGCAGUAGGGAAUCUUCGGCAAUGGACGAAAGUCUGACCGAGCAACGCCGCGUGAGUGAAGAAGGUUUUAGGAUCGUAAAACUCUGUUGUUAGAGAAGAACAAGGAUGAGAGUAAAAUGUUCAUCCCUUGACGGUAUCUAACCAGAAAGCCACGGCUAACUACGUGCCAGCAGCCGCGGUAAUACGUAGGUGGCAAGCGUUGUCCGGAUUUAUUGGGCGUAAAGCGAGCGCAGGCGGUUUCUUAAGUCUGAUGUGAAAGCCCCCGGCUCAACCGGGGAGGGUCAUUGGAAACUGGGAAACUUGAGUGCAGAAGAGGAGAGUGGAAUUCCAUGUGUAGCGGUGAAAUGCGUAGAUAUAUGGAGGAACACCAGUGGCGAAGGCGGCUCUCUGGUCUGUAACUGACGCUGAGGCUCGAAAGCGUGGGGAGCAAACAGG
RNAcentral lists this ribosomal RNA (776 nucleotides) under uncultured Enterococcaceae bacterium. RNAcentral describes it as "bacterial SSU rRNA". It matches the Rfam family "Bacterial small subunit ribosomal RNA", at positions 28 to 776 of the family's 1533-position model. Lineage: Bacteria; Bacillati; Bacillota; Bacilli; Lactobacillales; Enterococcaceae. The record is from RNAcentral.